GCAAGGAAUAUUGUGCAAUGGGCGAAAGCCUGACACAGCGACGUCGCGUGGGGGAUGAAGGUCUUCGGAUUGUAAACCCCUUUUCUGAGGGAAGAAUAAUGACGGUACCUCAGGAAUAAGUCUCGGCUAACUACGUGCCAGCAGCCGCGGUAAUACGUAGGAGGCAAGCGUUAUCCGGAUUCAUUGGGCGUAAAGAGCGAGCAGGCGGCCUUUUAAGUCGGAUGUGAAAUCUCUUGGCUUAACUGAGAGAGGUCAUCCGAUACUGGAAAGCUAGAGUGCAGCAGAGGAAGGCGGAAUUCCCGGUGUAGUGGUGAAAUACGUAGAUAUCGGGAGGAACACCAGUGGCGAAGGCGGCCUUCUGGGCUGUAACUGACGCUGAGGCGCGAAAGCGUGGGGAGCAAACAGGAUCAGAAACCCGAGUAGUCC
This 426-nucleotide ribosomal RNA is filed under the name uncultured bacterium. RNAcentral describes it as "bacterial SSU rRNA". It matches the Rfam family "Bacterial small subunit ribosomal RNA", at positions 354 to 796 of the family's 1533-position model. The record is from RNAcentral.